Molecule: non-coding RNA, 258 nt
Organism: Chiloscyllium plagiosum (whitespotted bambooshark)
Lineage: Eukaryota; Metazoa; Chordata; Chondrichthyes; Orectolobiformes; Hemiscylliidae
Source: RefSeq, a predicted model, not a curated record
UAUGUGAAUGAGCUGAGAGCUGUCAGUGCACAAAGCAGCAGAAUCUUGUGUGACUGUGAGGAAAGGGCUGCUUUCCUUCCACACCCUGCUUUCGGACCUCUUGGCUGCAUCUUCAUUGUAACUUGUUCUGCAAAGAUUGAAAUUUAACAAGAAUAGCUGAGAUCUGACUGUGGGUUCUCAGUGCUGAAGUAAUACUCCAGUUCAAUCCAUAUCCGAGUGCCACCAUGGGAAGUCUAUCAGAUUGCACAUUGUAAAAAG